AUGUUGUUUCAAUUGGGGUUGCCAUCUAUUAACUGUUGUUUCUGCCAUCUACUUGAUGUUUAUAUAAUUCACAAUGUGUUAGUCCAUAUGAUUCUAUAUGGUGUUUCAAUUGGGGCUGCCAUCUAUGAGUUAUUGCUGUCAUCUACUUGCAAUGUUUAUAUAAUUCACAAUGCUUUAGUCCAUCUGAAUUUAUAUGUUGUUUUAAUUUGGGCUGUCAUCUAUGAGUUGUUUCUUCCGUCUACUUGUAAUAUUUAUAUAAUUCACAUUGUUUCUGCCCAUAUGAUUUUAUAUGUUGUUCUAAUUGCGGUUGCCAUCAUUGAGUUGUUGUUUCUGCCAUCUACUUGUAAUGUUUAUAUAAUUCACAAUGCUUUAAUUGCAAGGUUAAGCGGCAUGGGAGCAAAAGAGCUUUUGGUUUGA
RNAcentral lists this ribosomal RNA (417 nucleotides) under Triticum aestivum (bread wheat). Its description in RNAcentral is "partial small subunit ribosomal RNA". Lineage: Eukaryota; Viridiplantae; Streptophyta; Magnoliopsida; Poales; Poaceae. The record is from RNAcentral.